GUGACCUCAGAUCAGGUAGGAA
This 22-nucleotide ribosomal RNA is filed under the name Hypocreales sp. r158. RNAcentral describes it as "partial 28S ribosomal RNA". Lineage: Eukaryota; Fungi; Ascomycota; Sordariomycetes; Hypocreales. The record is from RNAcentral.